Molecule: transfer RNA, 64 nt
Filed under: Dipodomys ordii (Ord's kangaroo rat)
Lineage: Eukaryota; Metazoa; Chordata; Mammalia; Rodentia; Heteromyidae
Rfam family: tRNA
About the family: Transfer RNA (tRNA) molecules are approximately 80 nucleotides in length.
Source: Rfam by way of RNAcentral
GGUGGCUCAGUGGUAGAGUGCUUGUCUUGCAUACAUGAGGCCUGGGUUCGAUUCCUCAGCACCA